RNAcentral lists this ribosomal RNA (561 nucleotides) under uncultured bacterium. Its description in RNAcentral is "bacterial SSU rRNA". It matches the Rfam family "Bacterial small subunit ribosomal RNA", at positions 338 to 917 of the family's 1533-position model. The record is from RNAcentral.
CCUACGGGAGGCAGCAGUGGGGAAUAUUGCACAAUGGGGGAAACCCUGAUGCAGCGACGCCGCGUGAGCGAUGAAGUAUUUCGGUAUGUAAAGCUCUAUCAGCAGGGAAGAAAAUGACGGUACCUGACUAAGAAGCCCCGGCUAACUACGUGCCAGCAGCCGCGGUAAUACGUAGGGGGCAAGCGUUAUCCGGAUUUACUGGGUGUAAAGGGAGCGUAGACGGCAUGGCAAGCCAGAUGUGAAAGCCCGGGGCUCAACCCCGGGACUGCAUUUGGAACUGUCAGGCUAGAGUGUCGGAGAGGAAAGCGGAAUUCCUAGUGUAGCGGUGAAAUGCGUAGAUAUUAGGAGGAACACCAGUGGCGAAGGCGGCUUUCUGGACGAUGACUGACGUUGAGGCUCGAAAGCGUGGGGAGCAAACAGGAUUAGAUACCCUGGUAGUCCACGCCGUAUUCGAUCAUACUAGGUGUCGGGUGGCAAAGCCAUUCGGUGCCGCAGCAAACGCAAUAAGUAUUCCACCUGGGGAGUACGUUCGCAAGAAUGAAACUCAAAGGAAUUGACGGA